GGGGAUGUAGCUCAGAUGGUAGAGCGCUCGCUUAGCAUGCGAGAAGUACGGGGAUCGAUACCUGCAUCUCCA
This 72-nucleotide transfer RNA is filed under the name Daphnia pulex (common water flea). It matches the Rfam family "tRNA". Rfam says of the family: Transfer RNA (tRNA) molecules are approximately 80 nucleotides in length. Their secondary structure includes four short double-helical elements and three loops (D, anti-codon, and T loops). Further hydrogen bonds mediate the characteristic L-shaped molecular structure. tRNAs have two regions of fundamental functional importance: the anti-codon, which is responsible for specific mRNA codon recognition, and the 3' end, to which the tRNAs corresponding amino acid is attached (by aminoacyl-tRNA synthetases). tRNAs cope with the degeneracy of the genetic code in two manners: having more than one tRNA (with a specific anti-codon) for a particular amino acid; and 'wobble' base-pairing, i.e. permitting non-standard base-pairing at the 3rd anti-codon position. The record is from Rfam by way of RNAcentral. Lineage: Eukaryota; Metazoa; Arthropoda; Branchiopoda; Diplostraca; Daphniidae.